This 135-nucleotide small nucleolar RNA is filed under the name Mesitornis unicolor (brown roatelo). The record is from RNAcentral. Lineage: Eukaryota; Metazoa; Chordata; Aves; Mesitornithiformes; Mesitornithidae.
GCACUGCCUUUGACCCGGCGGGGUGCCCUGCCCGCGGCGCCGCUGGUCAAGCUGUGGUGCUACAGCAAAGCGCUUGUUCAUAACUGGGGCUGCUCGGCAUCAUCCGGGUGGCGCUUUUAAAAGCAAGCAACAGCU